UUUGAAGAAAAAGAAUCGUAUGUAUUUCGACUGUUUUUUUUUUAAGUUUUAAGGGAAUAGAAAGACCAUACAUGUACCAAAGGAAACUUCAGAUAAGAGGAUAGAUUGUAUGUAUAAAAGGAAUCUACCGGAAAUCAUAAUUAGGUGUUUAAUCCUUUAGUUCCUGCUUGGACGACUUAUACCUUCACUUUUGCAGGAUGGCAUCUCUGUCUGCAGGCAUUAUAGCGGGAAUAAUAAUUGGAUCUAUCUUCGGAGUUCUUUUGAUAGGUUGCUGCUUUUCUAUGAUUUACCGUCAUGGUCGCCAUAGAUUUUGGGGACACCACGGAACUUAUCCACCAAUCAUUGGAGAACAUCAUGGUGGGCAUUAUGGAGGUCACCAUGGGGGUCAUCAUGGCGGCCAUCAUUGAUAAACAUCACUGACACGUGUUUCAUAAUGAAGGACAUAUGUUACUUUACUCCCAGUGGCAGCUAAUUAAAGUCUCAUUAGUUAUAAAGAGUCUUGAAUGCAACAUGACAUGACACUGGAAGUGAUGCGAGGCAAGCAAUGACGGAUCCAUUUCUAAGAAGUCCAAUCCACACUUCGCAAAAGUUGUUUCCCUUUGCGGGGUCAACCAGAAGGUCAAUAGGGAAAGAAACUUCAUUUCUUCUCUUUAUGCUACCAAAUAUUUGGGCGUGCUCUGAUAAAUCCAUUGUGUUUAAUUUUUUUUCUUUCAAUGUGUGGGUAGACCCAUAUUGGGGCAAUCAGUACAUGAAAGGCCGAGCUUUUUUAAAGUCAAAUGACGAAGUUACAAACCUGCAAACUACAAAGGCUACUGUGUGGAUUGUAUGGGUUUAUCCCCUAAGAUGGCGGCCAAGGGACAUAACUUUUGCAAAGUGUGGAUUGGACUAUUAUAUAAGACUUAUAAAAAUACUAGGAACCAAAAAAAUAUACUGGGUAUUUAUAAUUCAUUUGAAAAUAAAUCUCUAUUGUAGAUAGCUUAAACAUAUUGUAUUGAUUCGCUUGUCAUUUUUGUGCAGACGUGAAUAUUUGAAAAGUAGCCCAUGUUUAAAUGAGGUAAUGGAAUUGUAAUUUUUCUUCCAAAAUUGCAAGUAUAAAAAAAUAACAAAGAAUCA
Molecule: long non-coding RNA, 1113 nt
Organism: Saccostrea cuccullata (small rock oyster)
Lineage: Eukaryota; Metazoa; Mollusca; Bivalvia; Ostreida; Ostreidae
Exons: 3
Source: RefSeq, a predicted model, not a curated record